AGGCAUGUCUGGGUCCAGCUGUGUGACGGCUGCACUAGGAAACACCUGGAGUCAUAGUGUGAACACCCGGCUGAUUUUCCAGUAUCUCAACUCAGAGAGAAGACAGAUUCUCAUUGCUAAGUCCCCUCUGGCUCCCUUCAGCUCAUUUGUCUACACCAUCAAGGAGGAAGGCCUGGUUCUGCAAGGCCAACAGAGGCCAUAGGGAUACUGUGACCUUUGUCUAGAGCUGAUGGGGGCGUGAUUUGUGAAAUAAAACAGGACUACACUGCUUGGAAGAAGGAAACGGAAGCCAACAUAAUGGGGAUUAAUUAGUUGAUUGCUGUUGAGAUGGUAACAGAUUUGCUCCUGGACCAUUGAGCCGGCGACUGCAGACCUAGCAGGGAAGGUGAAGACGAAGACGCUUUUGUUCCAGCCUCUGGAUGUGCGGGGCGAGGGCUUUGCUGCCAUGAAAUGUCAACAGCCAUAAUAAUAAUAAUUUGCACUUAUAUGGCACCUUUCAACUGGGCACCUCAAAGCAGUUUAACCACAUUAAUUAAUUAAAGCCCACAGUACCCCUGGGGAGAAGAGGAGGAUGACUAACAAGAUUUGUAAUUACAGGAGGGAACGUUUUCAAAUAAAGUAUUGUCUACCA
Carlito syrichta (Philippine tarsier) is the source of this 631-nucleotide long non-coding RNA. RefSeq lists it as uncharacterized. The record is from RefSeq and is a predicted model, not a curated record. The transcript is spliced from 3 exons. NCBI's taxonomy places the organism in Eukaryota, Metazoa, Chordata, Mammalia, Primates, Tarsiidae.